AACGAACGCUGGCGGCAUGCCUAACACAUGCAAGUCGAACGAGACCUUCGGGUCUAGUGGCGAACGGGUGCGUAACGCGUGGGAACCUGCCCUUAGGUUCGGAAUAACUCCCCGAAAGGGGUGCUAAUACCGGAUAAUGUCUUCGGACCAAAGAUUUAUCGCCUUUGGAUGGGCCCGCGUUGGAUUAGCUAGUUGGUAGGGUAAAAGCCUACCAAGGCGACGAUCCAUAGCUGGUCUGAGAGGAUGAUCAGCCACACUGGGACUGAGACACGGCCCAGACUCCUACGGGAGGCAGCAGUGGGGAAUUAUGGACAAUGGGCGAAAGCCUGAUCCAGCAAUGCCGCGUGUAAGAAGAACGACUUAUGGUUGUAAAGCUCUUUUUCCCGGGAUGAUAAUGAUAGUACCGGGAGAAUGAGCUCCGGCUAACUCCGUG
This 433-nucleotide ribosomal RNA is filed under the name uncultured bacterium. RNAcentral describes it as "partial 16S ribosomal RNA". It matches the Rfam family "Bacterial small subunit ribosomal RNA", at positions 29 to 507 of the family's 1533-position model. The record is from RNAcentral.